This is a non-coding RNA of Oncorhynchus tshawytscha (Chinook salmon), 74 nucleotides long. NCBI's taxonomy places the organism in Eukaryota, Metazoa, Chordata, Actinopteri, Salmoniformes, Salmonidae. The record is from the annotation of a RefSeq genome assembly.
GGCUCGUUGGUCUAGGGGUAUGAUUCUCGCUUUGGGUGCGAGAGGUCCCGGGUUCAAAUCCCCCGGACGAGCCC